RNAcentral lists this ribosomal RNA (2929 nucleotides) under Escherichia coli. RNAcentral's name for it is "bacterial LSU rRNA". It matches the Rfam family "Bacterial large subunit ribosomal RNA". Lineage: Bacteria; Pseudomonadati; Pseudomonadota; Gammaproteobacteria; Enterobacterales; Enterobacteriaceae. The record is from RNAcentral.
GGGUUGUGAGGUUAAGCGACUAAGCGUACACGGUGGAUGCCCUGGCAGUCAGAGGCGAUGAAGGACGUGCUAAUCUGCGAUAAGCGUCGGUAAGGUGAUAUGAACCGUUAUAACCGGCGAUUUCCGAAUGGGGAAACCCAGUGUGUUUCGACACACUAUCAUUAACUGAAUCCAUAGGUUAAUGAGGCGAACCGGGGGAACUGAAACAUCUAAGUACCCCGAGGAAAAGAAAUCAACCGAGAUUCCCCCAGUAGCGGCGAGCGAACGGGGAGCAGCCCAGAGCCUGAAUCAGUGUGUGUGUUAGUGGAAGCGUCUGGAAAGGCGCGCGAUACAGGGUGACAGCCCCGUACACAAAAAUGCACAUACUGUGAGCUCGAUGAGUAGGGCGGGACACGUGGUAUCCUGUCUGAAUAUGGGGGGACCAUCCUCCAAGGCUAAAUACUCCUGACUGACCGAUAGUGAACCAGUACCGUGAGGGAAAGGCGAAAAGAACCCCGGCGAGGGGAGUGAAAAAGAACCUGAAACCGUGUACGUACAAGCAGUGGGAGCACGCUUAGGCGUGUGACUGCGUACCUUUUGUAUAAUGGGUCAGCGACUUAUAUUCUGUAGCAAGGUUAACCGAAUAGGGGAGCCGAAGGGAAACCGAGUCUUAACUGGGCGUUAAGUUGCAGGGUAUAGACCCGAAACCCGGUGAUCUAGCCAUGGGCAGGUUGAAGGUUGGGUAACACUAACUGGAGGACCGAACCGACUAAUGUUGAAAAAUUAGCGGAUGACUUGUGGCUGGGGGUGAAAGGCCAAUCAAACCGGGAGAUAGCUGGUUCUCCCCGAAAGCUAUUUAGGUAGCGCCUCGUGAAUUCAUCUCCGGGGGUAGAGCACUGUUUCGGCAAGGGGGUCAUCCCGACUUACCAACCCGAUGCAAACUGCGAAUACCGGAGAAUGUUAUCACGGGAGACACACGGCGGGUGCUAACGUCCGUCGUGAAGAGGGAAACAACCCAGACCGCCAGCUAAGGUCCCAAAGUCAUGGUUAAGUGGGAAACGAUGUGGGAAGGCCCAGACAGCCAGGAUGUUGGCUUAGAAGCAGCCAUCAUUUAAAGAAAGCGUAAUAGCUCACUGGUCGAGUCGGCCUGCGCGGAAGAUGUAACGGGGCUAAACCAUGCACCGAAGCUGCGGCAGCGACACUAUGUGUUGUUGGGUAGGGGAGCGUUCUGUAAGCCUGCGAAGGUGUGCUGUGAGGCAUGCUGGAGGUAUCAGAAGUGCGAAUGCUGACAUAAGUAACGAUAAAGCGGGUGAAAAGCCCGCUCGCCGGAAGACCAAGGGUUCCUGUCCAACGUUAAUCGGGGCAGGGUGAGUCGACCCCUAAGGCGAGGCCGAAAGGCGUAGUCGAUGGGAAACAGGUUAAUAUUCCUGUACUUGGUGUUACUGCGAAGGGGGGACGGAGAAGGCUAUGUUGGCCGGGCGACGGUUGUCCCGGUUUAAGCGUGUAGGCUGGUUUUCCAGGCAAAUCCGGAAAAUCAAGGCUGAGGCGUGAUGACGAGGCACUACGGUGCUGAAGCAACAAAUGCCCUGCUUCCAGGAAAAGCCUCUAAGCAUCAGGUAACAUCAAAUCGUACCCCAAACCGACACAGGUGGUCAGGUAGAGAAUACCAAGGCGCUUGAGAGAACUCGGGUGAAGGAACUAGGCAAAAUGGUGCCGUAACUUCGGGAGAAGGCACGCUGAUAUGUAGGUGAAGCGACUUGCUCGUGGAGCUGAAAUCAGUCGAAGAUACCAGCUGGCUGCAACUGUUUAUUAAAAACACAGCACUGUGCAAACACGAAAGUGGACGUAUACGGUGUGACGCCUGCCCGGUGCCGGAAGGUUAAUUGAUGGGGUCAGCGCAAGCGAAGCUCUUGAUCGAAGCCCCGGUAAACGGCGGCCGUAACUAUAACGGUCCUAAGGUAGCGAAAUUCCUUGUCGGGUAAGUUCCGACCUGCACGAAUGGCGUAAUGAUGGCCAGGCUGUCUCCACCCGAGACUCAGUGAAAUUGAACUCGCUGUGAAGAUGCAGUGUACCCGCGGCAAGACGGAAAGACCCCGUGAACCUUUACUAUAGCUUGACACUGAACAUUGAGCCUUGAUGUGUAGGAUAGGUGGGAGGCUUUGAAGUGUGGACGCCAGUCUGCAUGGAGCCGACCUUGAAAUACCACCCUUUAAUGUUUGAUGUUCUAACGUUGACCCGUAAUCCGGGUUGCGGACAGUGUCUGGUGGGUAGUUUGACUGGGGCGGUCUCCUCCUAAAGAGUAACGGAGGAGCACGAAGGUUGGCUAAUCCUGGUCGGACAUCAGGAGGUUAGUGCAAUGGCAUAAGCCAGCUUGACUGCGAGCGUGACGGCGCGAGCAGGUGCGAAAGCAGGUCAUAGUGAUCCGGUGGUUCUGAAUGGAAGGGCCAUCGCUCAACGGAUAAAAGGUACUCCGGGGAUAACAGGCUGAUACCGCCCAAGAGUUCAUAUCGACGGCGGUGUUUGGCACCUCGAUGUCGGCUCAUCACAUCCUGGGGCUGAAGUAGGUCCCAAGGGUAUGGCUGUUCGCCAUUUAAAGUGGUACGCGAGCUGGGUUUAGAACGUCGUGAGACAGUUCGGUCCCUAUCUGCCGUGGGCGCUGGAGAACUGAGGGGGGCUGCUCCUAGUACGAGAGGACCGGAGUGGACGCAUCACUGGUGUUCGGGUUGUCAUGCCAAUGGCACUGCCCGGUAGCUAAAUGCGGAAGAGAUAAGUGCUGAAAGCAUCUAAGCACGAAACUUGCCCCGAGAUGAGUUCUCCCUGACCCUUUAAGGGUCCUGAAGGAACGUUGAAGACGACGACGUUGAUAGGCCGGGUGUGUAAGCGCAGCGAUGCGUUGAGCUAACCGGUACUAAUGAACCGUGAGGCUUAACCUUACAACGCCGAAGCUGUU